RNAcentral lists this transfer RNA (72 nucleotides) under Synechococcus phage S-RIM8. RNAcentral describes it as "tRNA-Gly". It matches the Rfam family "tRNA". From Rfam's summary of the family: Transfer RNA (tRNA) molecules are approximately 80 nucleotides in length. Their secondary structure includes four short double-helical elements and three loops (D, anti-codon, and T loops). Lineage: Duplodnaviria; Heunggongvirae; Uroviricota; Caudoviricetes; Pantevenvirales; Kyanoviridae. The record is from RNAcentral. RNAcentral also lists the same sequence under 1 other name.
GCGGAUGUAAUUCAGUGGUAGAAUGUCAGCCUUCCAAGCUGAACGUCAGGGGUUCGAGUCCCCUUAUCCGCU